CAAGGCGUAGCUAUAACUUCAAAGCAUUCAGCUUACACCUGA
RNAcentral lists this transfer RNA (42 nucleotides) under Gallus gallus (chicken). Its description in RNAcentral is "partial tRNA-Val". Lineage: Eukaryota; Metazoa; Chordata; Aves; Galliformes; Phasianidae. The record is from RNAcentral.